RNAcentral lists this ribosomal RNA (254 nucleotides) under uncultured bacterium. RNAcentral's name for it is "partial 16S ribosomal RNA". It matches the Rfam family "Bacterial small subunit ribosomal RNA", at positions 524 to 776 of the family's 1533-position model. The record is from RNAcentral.
GACGUAGGGCGCGAGCGUUGUCCGGAUUUAUUGGGCGUAAAGAGCUCGUAGGCGGUGUGUCGCGUCGGCCGUGAAAACCUGCAGCUUAACUGUGGGCUUGCGGUCGAUACGGGCAUCACUGGAGUUCGGCAGGGGAGACUGGAAUUCCAGGUGUAGCGGUGAAAUGCGUAGAUAUCUGGAGGAACACCGGUGGCGAAGGCGGCGUUCUGGACUGCAACUGACACUGAAAAACGAAAGCCAGGGGAGCAAACGGG